GAUGAACGCUGGCGGCGUGCCUAACACAUGCAAGUCGAGCGAUCUCUUCGGAGAGAGCGGCGGACGGGUGAGUAACGCGUGGGUAACCUGCCCUGUACACACGGAUAACAUACCGAAAGGUAUGCUAAUACGGGAUAAUAUAUAAAAGUCGCAUGGCUUUUAUAUCAAAGCUUUUGCGGUACAGGAUGGACCCGCGUCUGAUUAGCUAGUUGGUAAGGUAACGGCUUACCAAGGCGACGAUCAGUAGCCGAUCUGAGAGGGUGAUCGGCCACACUGGAACUGAGACACGGUCCAGACUCCUACGGGAGGCAGCAGUGGGGAAUAUUGCACAAUGGGCGAAAGCCUGAUGCAGCAACGCCGCGUGAGCGAUGAAGGCCUUCGGGUCGUAAAGCUCUGUCCUCAAGGAAGAUAAUGACGGUACUUGAGGAGGAAGCCCCGGCUACUACGUGCCAGCCGCCGCCGUAA
Molecule: ribosomal RNA, 465 nt
Filed under: uncultured bacterium
Lineage: Bacteria
Description: partial 16S ribosomal RNA
Rfam family: Bacterial small subunit ribosomal RNA
Source: RNAcentral